GCCUGGGUGGCCGAGCGGUUCUAGGCGCUACAGUCUGGAACACUUCGGUCGCAGGUUCGAAUCCUGCCUCGGGCA
RNAcentral lists this transfer RNA (75 nucleotides) under Schistocerca americana (American grasshopper). RNAcentral describes it as "tRNA-Ser". It matches the Rfam family "tRNA". From Rfam's summary of the family: Transfer RNA (tRNA) molecules are approximately 80 nucleotides in length. Their secondary structure includes four short double-helical elements and three loops (D, anti-codon, and T loops). The record is from RNAcentral. Lineage: Eukaryota; Metazoa; Arthropoda; Insecta; Orthoptera; Acrididae.